This 377-nucleotide ribosomal RNA is filed under the name uncultured bacterium. RNAcentral's name for it is "partial 16S ribosomal RNA". It matches the Rfam family "Bacterial small subunit ribosomal RNA", at positions 894 to 1272 of the family's 1533-position model. The record is from RNAcentral.
UUGAAACUCAAAGGAANNGNCGGGGGCCCGCNCAAGCGGUGGAGCAUGUGGUUUAAUUNGAAGCAACGCGAAGAACCUUACCAGGUCNNGNCAUCCCUCUGACCGCUCUAGAGAUAGAGUUUUCCUUCGGGACAGAGGNGACAGGCGGUGCAUGGUUGUCGUCAGCUCGUGUCGUGAGAUGUUGGGUUAAGUCCCGCAACGAGCGCAACCCNUNUUNUUAGUUGCCAUCAUUCAGUUGGGCACUCUAGCGAGACUGCCGGUAAUAAACCGGAGGAAGGUGGGGAUGACGUCAAAUCAUCAUGCCCCUUAUGACCUGGGCUACACACGUGCUACAAUGGCUGGUACAACGAGUCGCAAGCCGGNGACGGCAAGCUAAU